Notolabrus celidotus (New Zealand spotty) is the source of this 709-nucleotide long non-coding RNA. RefSeq lists it as uncharacterized. The transcript is spliced from 3 exons. NCBI's taxonomy places the organism in Eukaryota, Metazoa, Chordata, Actinopteri, Labriformes, Labridae. The record is from RefSeq and is a predicted model, not a curated record.
CCUUUUCCUGGUUUGGUUAUUUGUUAAAGAUGAACAUUUGGGUUUUACGCUUUUAUUGACAGGACAGCUUCAGGGAUAAGAACUGAGGGGAGAGUGGAGGAGUCAUACACUGAAUCAUGUUGGACUGAGAACUGAUCCUCCGACCAGCAGGACCAGGACUGUAUCUUCUGUGCAUGCAGCACCUCUUCAGACGUAUUGGUCCCUGCCGAGGGGAGGGCUGCAGGACAGAUUGACAAGCUGCGGACUGAAGAGGCAGGAAGCUCACCUUAUUAGGAGUCAACAGGAGGACAGACAGCGAAACUAUCAGCUUCUUACAAGCUGAACGAGGCGACCAUGAGAGGGGGACUGAGGUAAACUCCAGAGAAACACGGUGAGCUGAAGGAGACGAUGAAGUGAACUCAUGGAGCGUUAGCCUUCUCUCUGGAUCUGCAUGUGUGCAACAAACCGUCCUGCUCACCAGGUCAGUGUUCCCUUAAUAUACACAACCUGAUCUCCACUUCUGCCUGUCCUCCUCCUGAGCAUGCACAAAGGGUUAUAUUUCACAAUAAGGAAGAAGAGAAGAAGUCAGUGCAUGAAGUACAUACUGCGCUGCUGCUGCUUCAUCAUGAACUCUGAGUUUACUUUAUGUUUCUGUAUGACCUGCAUGGAUUCACUCUGCUGAUGUUUGUCCAGCUUCCUGUGAGUUCAAUUAAAUCCUGCACACACGCAC